Molecule: ribosomal RNA, 251 nt
Filed under: uncultured bacterium
Lineage: Bacteria
Description: partial 16S ribosomal RNA
Rfam family: Bacterial small subunit ribosomal RNA
Source: RNAcentral
GAUGAACGCUAGCGGCAGGCCUAAUACAUGCAAGUCGAACGGUGGGUAGCAAUACUCAUAGUGGCGCACGGGUGCGUAACACGUAACUAACCUACCCAUCAUUGGGGGAGUAGCCCGCCGAAAGGCGGAUUAAUACCGCAUAAGACUAUAGAGGGGCAUCCCUUAGUAGUUAAAGAUUAUUGAUGAUGGAUGGGGUUGGCGGGUCAUUAGCUAGUUGGUUGGGUAACGGCUGACCAAGGCGACGAUGACUA